AUCAAUGGAGUUUUGACUCCAAGGUUUGUUUGGAAAAAUUUGAGUGAUGGAAUUAGUUUAUUAUUUUUUUGAAAAUUGGCAUUUGUCUAAAGAUCGCGUUUCCUAUGCAUACAUCUAAACGGUAAUCAUGCAACGUGUGUGCGUGUCGGUGCUUGUGUCGGUGUACAUCCCUUAUAGUGUCCAUAGUCCUUUACAUUGUCCUAGUU
RNAcentral lists this long non-coding RNA (206 nucleotides) under Medicago truncatula (barrel medic). RNAcentral's name for it is "long non-coding RNA (MTRU_LNC005517)". The record is from RNAcentral. Lineage: Eukaryota; Viridiplantae; Streptophyta; Magnoliopsida; Fabales; Fabaceae.